UCGCUGUUCAAGUUCAUCUGGUUCAAGAUUAACUCAAACUGGUUAACCCUACUCACUACUCAUGUUCAUCCUAACAACUCACCUAACACCUAUUCAUCUAAGGCCACCCAAAAGUUGUUCAUCAAAGGGUCUAUUCCUGGACAUUCACGACUCUCGACAUUCAUUAUGAUGAGGUUCGGUUGAGGAACGAAUGUGCGACUGUGCAAACAUAAGUUUAGGGCUUUUUUGUGUGACUAUGCAAAUGACAGCAGCACGACUGAGGUUCGUCCUAGGCUGACACUCACGCUCACCCAACAUCGACUGCGAUUCAUCCCCAACGCUCUCUAUCUCGACCCAACUUGCGAGUGUUUGAACGCCAUUUGUCGUGAGGAAAGCAAAGAUCGAACCCAACUCGCGACUUUGCGAACGAGGGUGGUAUGUUGGGGUCAUGAUUUCUCAUUUCAUAUUGUUCCCCUUUCAAUUAAGUCCUCUACUUUUCUUGGUUAUUGUUGUUUCUAAACGUCAGAAUCCCAAAGUUUAGACCGCAAUGUUUAUGAUGCUUACUCUUAGGUGGUUAAUGGAUGAAGCAAAAAAGUCAACAAAAUCUAGAUUUCUUAAAGAGGUGUCAAUGGUGUUGCUGAACAAUUUAUUGUCCUUACCUUUUGCCAUCAUCUUGAUUCUCUUUUUUGGAGAGUGGCAUUAUGUAAUACAUUCCUGAUUGAAUGUGUUUCUCUUCUUCAUAAUUCAAUCAUCCCUUUUGCCUCCCCACCAUUGUUUUCCUCUCGAUUUCCAGCGAUGUCGUUAAACUACUGAUGUUUUGGGUGGUUGCAACCGCCAGUGGACUGCUUGGACUCUCUAUCAGCUUCACCUCAAUGUGGUUCUUUCAUCAAACUGGUCCUACAACUUAUAGUCUUGUUGGCUCCUUGAACAAGAUUCCUAUCUCUAUUGCUGGAAUUUUAGUGUUCAAAGUUCCUCUUAGUGUAUCAAAUUUAUUCAGCAUUUUGUUUGGUAAUUCAUUAAGAACCAUUUCACUUUUUAUUUAUUUGGUAAUGACUACUUCCUUUUAAUCUUACUGAAACAAAAAUUGCACUCUAUUUUUAGGUCUUUUUGCUGGUGUACUCUUUGCAAGAGCCAAUAUUGUAAGACUCGAGGAAUUUAAAUAAUUAAUUGAAUAAUUAUUUAAUAAA
This is an RNA transcript of Vigna unguiculata (cowpea), 1166 nucleotides long. It is a transcript of the gene named GDP-mannose transporter GONST2-like, with no coding region annotated. The record is from RefSeq and is a predicted model, not a curated record. NCBI's taxonomy places the organism in Eukaryota, Viridiplantae, Streptophyta, Magnoliopsida, Fabales, Fabaceae.